RNAcentral lists this ribosomal RNA (254 nucleotides) under uncultured bacterium. Its description in RNAcentral is "partial 16S ribosomal RNA". It matches the Rfam family "Bacterial small subunit ribosomal RNA", at positions 524 to 776 of the family's 1533-position model. The record is from RNAcentral.
UACGGGGGGAGCAAGCGUUGUUCGGAUUUACUGGGCGUAAAGGGCGCGUAGGCGGCCACUGCAAGUCAGUUGUGAAAUCUCCGGGCUUAACUCGGAAAGGUCAACUGAUACUGCAGGGCUAGAGUGCAGAAGGGGCAACUGGAAUUCUCGGUGUAGCGGUGAAAUGCGUAGAGAUCGGGAAGAACACCCGUGGCGAAGGCGGCCAGCUGGGACACACCUGACGCUGAGGCACGAAGGCGUGGGGAGCGAACGGG